CAGCCGCCGCGGUAAUACGGAGGGGGCUAGCGUUGUUCGGAAUUACUGGGCGUAAAGCGCACGUAGGCGGCUUUGUAAGUCAGAGGUGAAAGCCCGGGGCUCAACCCCGGAAUUGCCUUUGAGACUGCAUCGCUUGAAUCCAGGAGAGGUGAGUGGAAUUCCGAGUGUAGAGGUGAAAUUCGUAGAUAUUCGGAAGAACACCAGUGGCGAAGGCGGCUCACUGGACUGGUAUUGACGCUGAGGUGCGAAAGCGUGGGGAGCAAACAGGAUUAGAGACCCCAGUAGUCCCUGUCUCUUAUAU
Molecule: ribosomal RNA, 301 nt
Filed under: uncultured bacterium
Lineage: Bacteria
Description: partial 16S ribosomal RNA
Rfam family: Bacterial small subunit ribosomal RNA
Source: RNAcentral